GCUGGCGGCGUGCCUAACACAUGCAAGUCGAACGCGAAAGGGGCUUCGGCUCUGAGUAGAGUGGCGAACGGGUGAGUAACACGUGGGUGACCUACCUUCGAAUGGGGGAUAACGUCCCGAAAGGGACGCUAAUACCGCAUAACAUCCUGUCUUUGAACAGAUGGAGAUCAAAGCUGGGGAUCGUAAGACCUGGCGUUUGAAGAGGGGCCCGCGUCCGAUUAGCUAGUUGGUGAGGUAACGGCUCACCAAGGCAACGAUCGGUAGCCGGCCUGAGAGGGCGGACGGCCACACUGGGACUGAGACACGGCCCAGACUCCUACGGGAGGCAGCAGUGGGGAAUUGUUCGCAAUGGGCGCAAGCCUGACGACGCAACGCCGCGUGGAGGAUGAAGGUCUUCGGAUUGUAAACUCCUGUUGCCCGGGACGAAACGCCUCGACCUAACACGUCGAGGUUUGACGGUACCGGGUGAGGAAGCCCCGGCUAACUCUGUGCCAGCAGUCGCGGUAAUACAGAGGGGGCAAGCGUUGUUCGGAAUUACUGGGCGUAAAGGG
Molecule: ribosomal RNA, 551 nt
Filed under: uncultured soil bacterium
Lineage: Bacteria
Description: bacterial SSU rRNA
Rfam family: Bacterial small subunit ribosomal RNA
Source: RNAcentral